AGCGCAGGCGGUGCGGCAAGUCUGAUGUGAAAGCCCGGGGGCUCAGCCCCGGUACUGCAUUGGAAACUGUCGUACUAGAGUGUCGGAGGGGUAAGCGGAAUUCCUAGUGUAGCGGUGAAAUGCGUAGAUAUUAGGAGGAACACCAGUGGCGAAGGCGGCUUACUGGACGGUAACUGACGUUGAGGCUCGAAAGCGUGGGGAGCAAACA
RNAcentral lists this ribosomal RNA (208 nucleotides) under uncultured bacterium. RNAcentral's name for it is "partial 16S ribosomal RNA". It matches the Rfam family "Bacterial small subunit ribosomal RNA", at positions 568 to 774 of the family's 1533-position model. The record is from RNAcentral.